GUUAAGGAUACGAGAAAGACUAUUUAGAGCUAGGGUGUGUGCACAGGUUGUAUCUGGCGUGUUGGUGCGCUUGUACUUGCUCUGACAGUUUUGCUCUCACUGUGAGUCGAUUCCGCUGGUGAGCGAGUCUAGCGCGUGGGUACGGGCAGCGAGCGUAUAGAGAUUGCAUUGUUAUUGUCACCAGCUCAGAUAGAAUGUUUGCCUAGCAAAUACACGGAUGGGAACCAAGCCUCAAGACUACAGUUCAUACCAAUCCAUUGGACGAGAAAAGCGCUUGGAGACACAGGGGCGGGGGAGAUGGAGAAAAUUGUUAAUUCGUACUAUAGCGCUAUAUGAGACGCAUAGGCUACAUGGCCGUUUCUAGCCUCUCCACCCUUAAUAUUAUCCAACCAUUUUAUUUCCAAAGCAAAUUAAAAGAUGGACAGACAGCAAAUGUCGAGGCGGCGUCUUUAAUCAGGCGCUAUAGGCUGUAAAGUGGGGAGAAUCUAAACGUGACGUCAAUGCCUAGUAACUGACGCAGCCCCUCCACAAAAAAAAAUAGGGCUUUUUUCUUUUUUCGUCAGCAAGCUUAUUUUUUUCCGAUAAAAAGCCUAAACCACCGGGAUAACGUGGGGUUAUCCAUGUUAUGUGAAGGGACCUGAUAUAUUUCUUAUGUAUAGGCCUAUUUUCUGAAUUGCAAAUCAACCAACUGCUGUGUAGUGAAUUCUUCAGCGAAAGUUGCAUGGAGACAGGCGCGAGAAGGCGCCAGAAGAGCUGAGCGAGAGCACGCGAAAUCAAAUAUACAUAAUAACAAUAAUAUACGACAAGUACGAAUGAGAGCGAUACGGAGAGGCAGCUCUUGUGCAGAGUUGGUAGAUGAAAAUGUAUGUAGCCUUCAUUACAUGCGCUCCACGUAACGUUCCUGAGCGAUGCCUUUUGGCCCCUGGCCCCUGCUAUAUGGUGAGAGGCUAACUUGACGAAGAAGGGCUACGCCAUGUUACAUCCUGGCCAGAAACGUCGACUCUCUUGGGAUUUCAUCGUCUCCAUUGAGAAAGAUGUUCGUGGUGGGGGCUCAGAGCAGUGUGAAUAACUACUACUGACGUAACUCACAAAACAGAUGGACGUGACAUAUGAAGAGUGCUGAAUGUAUUUCUAUCCUAAUUUACAAUUACAUGUGGAAUUGUUGUAUUCAUUUGAUGGGUAUAGACUGUAAGUCAUGUCCCUUUGAUGCACGCUCAUAAGAUCUCAAAUGCUGAAAUAUCUUUUCAUUGGUUGUAAACGUUUUUGCCACAUUUUUGUUGUUGUUGCUGUCUUUAAUUUAGAGAUGAAUUCUGAUGGACCUUUAUAAAAUGGCACUAUAGUUGGUAAAGUUAAGUCAUAAGCUAUCUAAGCAGGAUGAUACAUAAAAUAGGCUACCUCUUAAUGAAUAACCCCUGUUUGAGUAAUAUCCUAUCACCUGAAGAGAUAUAUUAAUAAUGUAAGAAUAUUCUGUCAAUUUGCUACUAUGCCAAAUAGGCUACGUUACAAAAGUGAGAUAAACGUCUGAAACGCCAGUUCAUCCAAGCCAUUACGUAGGCGCUACCUAUCACGUAUAUAUCGAAUGAUCUUCACUUCUGUCAAAGAAUGCAAAUGGUUGAAUGAUGACUUGUCAAAAGUCAAUCGUUUUUUCCUACUGUGCACAUUUUGCUGAGCACAUUGCAUUGGUAAAAUGUUCUAAGGCAUUUGUGGUUUGUUCAUAUUUCAUGUUUAGUUUACAUGUCGGUGCAGGCAUACAGCUAAUAGACUAUGGCGACAGCGGGGUGUCUUCCAGGCAAGAAUAUCCCAGGAUACACUGUUGUGAGACGCUCUGUCUGGAUUGCAGGCUGACGCACUGUACAUCAAAAUGCCCAACAACAAGUCUACAUUUUUCCACAGUCGUGACAUCGCGCAAAGGAGACGCAUAUUCUCUCAAUAAUCAUGUUCGAGAUGUCAUUGUGGCUCACAAAUGUACAGUGCAACGGAAUAAAAUGUUAGAAAUUCACUGACUGUCUCUCUGUUUAUGUAAUCACACAUCUCCCC
Molecule: long non-coding RNA, 2037 nt
Organism: Oncorhynchus tshawytscha (Chinook salmon)
Lineage: Eukaryota; Metazoa; Chordata; Actinopteri; Salmoniformes; Salmonidae
Source: Ensembl